UUGGAGAGCCUGGGCGAUGGGCUCAAGACGAGUCUUGUUGCUGCUGCUGCUGCUGCCCUUACCUCGCACAACCCUGCCAAACUGAAUUGAAUAAAAACUUGUCCAAAUCAACAUCUCAAUCUGCCUCGAGAAACGUGUACAUUAUUUCUCAUCCGGAUUUCCACCACACGACCACAAUGCUACGAGUGAGCCAUAUGUGGGGUCGAUCUAGUGAACCCCCUUCGGGAGGAUCAUUACAUUGGUACCCACGGCUACAUCGCCCUGUCAUAGGGUGAAGAACCGCACCCCCUGUCUUCCCCCCCAUCCCCACAUCGGUGUGACGGACUGUAACCCAGCAACCCCAUCGGACAUCCCCGAAGUCACCCCGAAUUUCCAAAAACUUGACAACCAACCCCAUAGAACACCCCGGAGUCACCCCGAAUUUC
Molecule: long non-coding RNA, 425 nt
Organism: Folsomia candida
Lineage: Eukaryota; Metazoa; Arthropoda; Collembola; Entomobryomorpha; Isotomidae
Exons: 2
Source: RefSeq, a predicted model, not a curated record